RNAcentral lists this long non-coding RNA (1714 nucleotides) under Citrus sinensis (sweet orange). RNAcentral describes it as "long non-coding RNA (CSIN_LNC003160)". The record is from RNAcentral. Lineage: Eukaryota; Viridiplantae; Streptophyta; Magnoliopsida; Sapindales; Rutaceae.
UGGAAUAAAAUUAUCACGAAAUACCUGUAUGACUAAAAUUCGAUGAAUGGAAUUAUUCAGAUCAAUCUUAACAACAGACAAAAUGGGUAAGAAGUACCUGAAGUAAAGUACAUGAUCAUGUGCACGACAAACAAUAAAGUCAGACAUUGCAUCAUUAACUCUCAGUUUUCCAACAGAUUUGCCUAUUGUUCCACGAUUCUGAAGAUUAAAGGUAUUAGGCUUCAUCCUCUUAACAUAACCUUUUUCACUAAUCGCCUGCAAAUUAGACAGAUUUCUUUCAGAACUAAGACCAGACCUUUGGUGUCCCAUGAUCUGACACUUGAAUAUGAUGUCAGCAAAUAGACAGAAAACAAAAUCAAUGAAGAUGUUGAUGAAUUAUGUUACAUACAAGUAGCAUCUCAUCAUUUGGAAUGAUAUCUAUAUCAUCGAGUUGACCACUAUCAGCGUCUUCUAACAUAGAAAGCCUUGGAGUUGAAAACCUGUUCUUUAGCUCAAUCGCUUCUUGUUCUAUUAACUACAUAGAAAAAAGGAAGAGAGUGGAUCAGCAAGAAAAUCAAAAGAUAUAGAAAAAAGGAAGAGAGUAGAUCAGCAAGAAAAUCAAAAAAUUAAUUAGGUAAAAUUAAAUAAUAGCAGAAGAAUGAGCUAAGAAAUUUGGAAACCCAAUUUUAGAAAGAACAAGAAAGGCACAUUUCAUAUUAACAAUAAAAUUUUAUGAAGUAAAAGAAAGCCAUAAGAAGAAUGAUCUCCCUAUCUCCCUCUAGUAUGGGCUGAAGUACUUUAAUAUUUCCUCCUCCAAUAAUAACAACUUUUCAGGCAUUGCUUAAUCAAUCCUAUCCUUGCGGUUUCUUCAUAUAGCUGAACCCUAGUAGGUUCAAAUUUUUCAGAAUCCUCCCCCAAGAUACUUUCCCAGAAAAAUGAAAUUAAACACCCUUGGGAAUUCAUAGAAUUUAUUAUUGAUCUCCUUCAAGGUAAAGCUUAUGUCUAUUCUCCAAACCAGAGAGGCCUGUCUGUAAUUAGAUGAAGCUAAGCUAGUGAAAUUUACUCUAGAAAAAGGCAAUACAAGACAUUGCAAUGCCUGGAAUUGAAACCUAAAAUCUUGUUGUUUACUAAGGACUGAUGAGCAUAAGGCCGAAACAAAUCAUACCAAAAGAGUAGUACAGGUUAUUCGAAAUUUAUGUUUUUGUCUUUUAGAUCCCUUAUUACAAGGGGACUCUAUACAUACACAUAUAGAGAUUUGCCUUUUGACCUAUUCAGCCUUUGGUUAAAUUCAGACUUAUUUAUAUCUUAGAUAAAAGAUCAAAAGUAAUACAAAAUAAAAAAUCUUCUUUAUAUAACUGAUAGUGGAAUAAAAUUAUCACGAAAUACCUGUAUGACUAAAAUUCGAUGAAUGGAAUUAUUCAGAUCAAUCUUAACAACAGACAAAAUGGGUAAGAAGUACCUGAAGUAAAGUACAUGAUCAUGUGCACGACAAACAAUAAAGUCAGACAUUGCAUCAUUAACUCUCAGUUUUCCAACAGAUUUGCCUAUUGUUCCACGAUUCUGAAGAUUAAAGGUAUUAGGCUUCAUCCUCUUAACAUAACCUUUUUCACUAAUCGCCUGCAAAUUAGACAGAUUUCUUUCAGAACUAAGACCAGACCUUUGGUGUCCCAUGAUCUGACACUUGAAUAUGAUGUCAGCAAAUAGACAGAAAACAAAAUCAAUGAAGAUGUUGAUG